UCGAGUGAUGACUCUAUGACACGCUAAAGGCAUUCCUCAAUCUUAAUCACCAUGUGGAAUCUGUCGUUACAUUAAGUUUCAGCCUUGUCUGACU
This 94-nucleotide small nucleolar RNA is filed under the name Aspergillus rambellii. RNAcentral describes it as "A. fumigatus snoRNA Afu_455". It matches the Rfam family "A. fumigatus snoRNA Afu_455". Lineage: Eukaryota; Fungi; Ascomycota; Eurotiomycetes; Eurotiales; Aspergillaceae. The record is from Rfam by way of RNAcentral.